RNAcentral lists this ribosomal RNA (546 nucleotides) under Triticum aestivum (bread wheat). RNAcentral's name for it is "partial small subunit ribosomal RNA". The record is from RNAcentral. Lineage: Eukaryota; Viridiplantae; Streptophyta; Magnoliopsida; Poales; Poaceae.
AUGGUGGACUCCUGGGCGACAUCUGAUGAACCAGACCAGGUGGUUUGGAACCUUGGAAAGAACAAGCGCUUCACAACCAAAUCUAUGUAUACUCACCUGGAAAGUCGCCUCGCUGGAGGUAGUUAUAGCUGGGUUUGAAAAGCUAAACUUCCACUCAAAAUUCAAAUCUUCCUCUAGCAAUUAUUCCAAGAUGCAGUGCUGACACGUGAUGUCAUGAAAAGACGUAACUGGGCUGGUAACCCGAAGUGCUACUUCUGUCCGGAUAGGGAAACCUCUCAACACCUCUUCUUCACCUGCCCAGUUGCGAGGGUAGUUUGGAGGACGGUGGGAUGUGUCUUCGACACAGAUUUAUGCCCUGAUAACCUGUGGCAAUAUUUUUCCUGGUGCUAUAUUUUCUUACCCGAUGGUGCUAAAUUCUAUACCUUUGGCCUUGUUGCGAUUUGUUGGGCUAUGUGGAAUUGUCGUAAUCAGGCCACUUUCGAAUUCAAAAAACUGGGAACCCCCUUUGAUGUGAUAUUCUCUUCAUGUGGCUAUAUGAACUAUUAG